CGCGGCCUAUCAGCUUGUUGGUGAGGUAAUGGCUCACCAAGGCUUCGACGGGUAGCCGGCCUGAGAGGGCGACCGGCCACACUGGGACUGAGAUACGGCCCAGACUCCUACGGGAGGCAGCAGUGGGGAAUAUUGCACAAUGGGCGCAAGCCUGAUGCAGCAACGCCGCGUGCGGGAUGACGGCCUUCGGGUUGUAAACCGCUUUCAGUAGGGACGAAGCUAACGUGACGGUACCUACAGAAGAAGGACCGGCUAACUACGUGCCAGCAGCCGCGGUGAUACGUAGGGUCCGAGCGUUGUCCGGAAUUAUUGGGCGUAAAGGGCUUGUAGGCGGUCCGUCGCGUCAGGAGUGAAAACUCGGGGCUUAACCCCGAGCCUGCUUUUGAUACGGGCGGACUAGAGGGAUGCAGGGGAGAACGGAAUUCCUGGUGGAGCGGUGGAAUGCGCAGAUAUCAGGAGGAACACCGGUGGCGAAGGCGGUUCUCUGGGCAUCACCUGACGCUGAGAAGCGAAAGCGUGGGGAGUAAACAGGCUUAGAUACCCUGGUAGUCCACGCCGUAAACGGUGGGUACUAGGUGUGGGGGACAUUCCACGUUCUCCGUGCCGAAGCUAACGCAUUAAGUGCCCCGCCUGGGGAGUACGG
Molecule: ribosomal RNA, 643 nt
Filed under: uncultured bacterium
Lineage: Bacteria
Description: bacterial SSU rRNA
Rfam family: Bacterial small subunit ribosomal RNA
Source: RNAcentral